Amphimedon queenslandica is the source of this 1246-nucleotide long non-coding RNA. RefSeq lists it as uncharacterized. The record is from RefSeq and is a predicted model, not a curated record. The transcript has 5 exons. NCBI's taxonomy places the organism in Eukaryota, Metazoa, Porifera, Demospongiae, Haplosclerida, Niphatidae.
CACUACAUUUAGCAAGCCAGCAUUUAUCAUUGUGGCCACUCAUUUCGACCAGGCAAAAUGUGAGAGCACUAGCCUUAGAGGAGACACUGAAGGAGAAGAAUGCAGAGCUACAAUCCUGUCUAAAUGAGUUCCUUAAUCUCUCUAUAUUUUAUAAUGGUGACUAAAAUGAGCUGGUCUUUCCCGUUGACAACCUUUGCAAGUGGAUUUGUAAGAAGAUAUUGGCUGAUAUACAUGUACGUGAGCAUAUGACGUCUCAAUUCAAAUCUAUUAGAUUCAGUGUUCCAAUACCAAUACGUUGGUACAUGUUUGAGAUCAAGAUGAAUGAAGAGGGAUUAGUCUGUGAUAAGGAAGUGAUAUCACUUAAGUCAUGUUACACUAUUGGUAUCAAAUUACAUGUAGGAAUGAGUCAAUCAGAUGUUGACCAAUGUCUAGUGUACCUUGAUUCAUUUACUCUCUGUAUCUACUACUCCAGUAUCCUCCAUCAUGUUGUCUUCACUGAUCUUCAGUUUCUAGUAGACUUUCUCUCCAAUAUUGUCAGACUAUCAUUUGUGGAUUAUAUAUAGCAGUUAUUACCUGAUGGAGUCAGCUUGUCUCCCGAUACUCAACUUAGGCUAAAAAGAGACGGAGUUUUUGAUGAGUCCCUACUGGAUAGUCUUGGACUGACUUUCAUUUCUAAUCUGUUCUCAAAGUCCAAAUUACUUUGCUUACUGAAGUACCUUUGCUUGGUCUCUUUUAUUAUUUCCUCUACUGGUCCACCUCGUUAUUUUCUACCAAUUGUUUUUCCACCGGAAAAAUCACCAAAGAACAGAAAGAGGCCUUCACUGAAACCUGUGACCCACUGGUCAUCUCAUUCAAUAGGUUUGUUUUCAACAUUGAUUGUUUCUCUGUUAAGUUGAGAGGAGAGGCCUCACUUUUGUAUUGACAUGAUCCUAGAGCGUCUAUCAGCCAGUGCUGCUGCGUUAGACAUAUAUGCUGUUGUGACAUAUUUUCACCAGAAGCACAGAAGACGUGAGACUGAUAAGAAUCCUCAUCCUAUCAAAGUAUCAUACAUCCAAGAGAAACCCUCCUGAGAUCAGGUGCAGUAUUGAGAGAUCUUCAACCCAUUGCAUUAACUGAUGAGAGACGAAGUUGCUGGUUAUUAGAUCCAGUUGCUCUAUCAGUUGUUCCUAUUGACAAUCUUUUACCAGAAGGUUCUGUAUUAAAUGAGUCUCAUGCUCCUGUUAUACUACAAGCCAUCAAUAAGAUA